This 458-nucleotide ribosomal RNA is filed under the name uncultured bacterium. Its description in RNAcentral is "bacterial SSU rRNA". It matches the Rfam family "Bacterial small subunit ribosomal RNA", at positions 340 to 786 of the family's 1533-position model. The record is from RNAcentral.
UACGGGAGGCAGCAGUGGGGAAUAUUGCACAAUGGGCGAAAGCCUGAUGCAGCUAUGCCGCGUGUAUGAAGAAGGCCUUAGGGUUGUAAAGUACUUUCAUCGGGGAGGAAAAACAAAACUAAUAAUUUUAUUUCUUGACGUUACCCGAAAAAGAAGCACCGGCUAACUCCGUGCCAGCAGCCGCGGUAAUACGGAGGGUGCUAGCGUUAAUCAGAAUUACUGGGCGUAAAGAGCACGUAGGUGGUUUUUUUAAGUCAGAUGUGAAAUCCCUGGGCUUAACCUAGGAACUGCAUUUUGAAACUGAAAUACUAGAGUAUCGUAGAGGGAGGUAGAAUUCUAGGUGUAGCGGUGAAAUGCGUAGAUAUCUGGAGGAAUACCUGUGGCGAAAGCGGCCUCCUAAACGAAAUACUGACACUGAGGUGCGAAAGCGUGGGGAGCGAAAACAGGGAUUAGAUACC